RNAcentral lists this unclassified non-coding RNA (331 nucleotides) under soil metagenome. RNAcentral's name for it is "partial contains 5.8S ribosomal RNA, internal transcribed spacer 2, and large subunit ribosomal RNA". The stretch from base 1 to 120 matches the Rfam family "5.8S ribosomal RNA", at positions 35 to 154 of the family's 154-position model. The record is from RNAcentral.
GAUGAAGAACGCAGCGAAAUGCGAUAAGUAAUGUGAAUUGCAGAAUUCAGUGAAUCAUCGAAUCUUUGAACGCACAUUGCGCCCCCUGGUAUUCCGGGGGGCAUGCCUGUUCGAGCGUCAUUUCACCACUCAAGCCUCGCUUGGUAUUGGGCAACGCGGUCCGCCGCGUGCCUCAAAUCGACCGGCUGGGUCUUCUGUCCCCUAAGCGUUGUGGAAACUAUUCGCUAAAGGGUGUUCGGGAGGCUACGCUGUAAAACAACCCCAUUUCUAAGGUUGACCUCGGAUCAGGUAGGGAUACCCGCUGAACUUAAGCAUAUCAAUAAGCGGAGGA